This is an RNA transcript of Dreissena polymorpha, 3004 nucleotides long. It is a transcript of the gene named E3 SUMO-protein ligase KIAA1586-like, with no coding region annotated. The transcript is spliced from 9 exons. The record is from RefSeq and is a predicted model, not a curated record. NCBI's taxonomy places the organism in Eukaryota, Metazoa, Mollusca, Bivalvia, Myida, Dreissenidae.
GGAGUCUUCAAUAAAGUUAUAUGUGAGUAAAGACACAAUGUUCCUUAGUGAUUUAACAUGGCAGCAGAGCGUGGAUUAUGAACAGUGACCAAUUACAGUGUAGAAAGUGACCAGAAGCAGUGUGUGGUAUAUACAGUGUCAAGACAUUUGAGAGAGCCAGUUUAGAGAUAAAACAGUGAAGUGAAUAAGAAUAAGGACUCGAGUGAAAUUGACAAAAUGGCGUCAUCAGUCAGUGUUUUUUUUAAGGCCGUUUUGGGGCCGAUAUUCGGCCCCAUUCCCCUCAAGAAAAAGUAUAUAUUUUUCCCCGACUUUUGAAAAAAAUUCCCCUCCAGAAGUUACAAUUUUUUUUAAACAUUACGUAUAUUUAUCCGAAAAAAAACAUUGACCGCAUUUUAAACGUGUUUGUUCUAGUUUUUAGACGCUCAGUUUUGCGUGAAUCAUGGCAAUGAAAGCGCUUAGCAUUGUGGUUGCGGUCUACGUCAUCAAUAAUGUUGAAAGCACAUGUUUCACAUAACAACGCAAUGAGCGUCUAGUGAACAAUGAACGUUUCAUACAGUUACGAUCGUCUAGCUGCUUGACACUGAAAUGUCGCACAAUGCGAAAUUUUACAAAAAGAAAAUAAAUCAAAAAUGUGCCGUUCAAUGCAAAACAAUCGACAUUUUAUUUAAGCAGAAUGCACUUAAAGUUCAACAAACAACAAAAGAAUCGGCUCAGGUUGAGCAGAAUAAUGAUGAUUUGAUUGAGGCACAUUCAUCAAAGGAUCAUGUUAAUCAAACAAUUCUUGAGACUCAGAGUGACAGUAGUGAUGGAGAAAAUGAAACGGUCCCUGUGCCUGAUAGAAAAUUUUCAUCCACCAAAUAUGAAAAGCAAUACAGCUGGCUGUAUUACAGUGCAGCCAAGGCAGCCUAUUGCUGUAAAAUGUGUGACAUAUUCUCGCCAGUUUUGACCAACGGUCAGCUAAAUCCCUGGGUUGAAGGGGAAAAAUUAGGAACCCACCAGAGCCGAAAGCUUCUUAAGCAUUCAAACUCUAAACCUCAUAUAAAUAGCAUUCAGAAACAGUCGAAGGUAAAUGCAUAUGAUGACGGGGAGCCUUUGCUUCUUAUGUUGCUUAAACAAAAAUCUGAAAAACAGAAAUCAGAGGAAAUUUCUAGAAAUAAAAAGUACAUAUCAUGUGUUAUCAAAACUGUUCAUUUUGCUGUCAAACAGCAUUGGUCCUUAGACAGUGUACCGGAAUUAGUGGACCAUGUGGCCAAUCUAGGGAACAUGGAUAUCACUUCCUAUUUCCAACAUCAUCCAAACUUAAAGUACACCUCCACAGCGUCUGUGACAGAGGUAUUAGAAGCAAUAAACAUAUAUUUGGAAACCAAAUUGUUCGAUAAGUUAAGGCAGGCUGAUGCAUAUGCAUUGAUGGCGGACGAGUCAUCAGAUCAGGCUCAUAGAGAACAAUUUGCAGUGCUGGUAAAGUUUGAAUGGCAGGGGAAAAUUGAAGAGCAUUAUAUCGGUAUUAUCCAUGUCAUACGCACUGAUGCAGCCAGCUUGAUGAAAGCUAUUGAAGAUUUUCUAAAUUGCAAAAAUGUUGAUAUCAAAAAGGCCAUGUUCGUGGGGUUCGAUGGUUGCAAUACCAUGAGCGGUGUUAACAAAGGUUUACAGAGAAGAUUUCGGCAUCAUGUUCCCCACCAAAUCUACAUUAACUGUAGAAACCAUAAGCUGGCUUUAUGUGUUAAGCACUUGAUUAAAGAUUUUCCAGUCAUUGAGAAAUUUGAUGAGCUGCUCAUUGGCAUUUUGAAAUUUUUUCACUAUUCUCCCAAACAAUUUGCAACAUUUCAGUCCAUUCAAGAGUCAUAUGGUUUAACGAAGCUUCGUUUCAUCCGAGCCUGUACCACAAGAUGGCUUUCUCAUGAGAAAGCAUGCAGUAGAUUGGCUUCUAGAUACGUACAGGUAAUUGACACGCUGGAUGCUUGCCUGAAUGAGAAAUUCGAAGCCGAGGUUGAUGGAGUUCGUGGUCAGCUUCUCGAGAAGGAAACAGUAGCAGCUGUUCUCAUCCUUUGUGAUGUUUUAAAACCUGUGAUCCGUUUCAGUGACUAUUUGCAGCAGAGUAACCUUGUCUUUUCCAAUAUGACAGAAAGAUGCAAGGAACUGCUAGAUGAGCUUCACCUUCUGAUAGGAAGAUUUCAGACAUGUUUCAAUACUCCUCAAGAUGAAAGUUUAAUGUUGAGCAAGAUACAGGACUUGUUCUUCGAGAUCGAUGAAAGGGCUGCUUUUUCUAGAAGACUAAGGCAGCAUGAUGUUGACCUCCAACCCGAGAAGAUUGUCAUGGAAUUGGCUUUGCCAAUUACGUAUAACCUGAUCAGUGAAAUAGCAUGUGCCUUUAACUGUGAGCCUGUGCUGGAAGCGUUCUCGGUCUUCAACAUGAACAAAGUACCUGAUUCAAUGAAUGCGAUGCAAGGCUAUGGAAAGAAUGCGGUUGAUGUCUUAGCCAAACAUUAUGGAAACACCAAGAUUGAUGAGUUUGAGAGGCACAGGACUGAAGCGUUCCCAACAUUCAGUGAAUCAACAAUCAGGGAACAAUUUCAGCAAUUUCUUCCACAGUUGUGUUUGUUGAAUUUCUUUGACACAGGGAUUCAGCUGGACAAGCUGCUUGAUUGAAAGCUGAUGCAGGGCAUGUCCAUUUUCUACAAUUUCUACAGUUCAGUUUUCAAAGCAAAGAGGGGAGCUGUGCCUGACAGAUCUAUUCUACAGACCAGAGAUACAGAAUUCCUUCCCCGCUGUCAACUAUAUGUUUACCCUAAGCCGACUGAUCCCAUCGUCUACUGCCAGUGUUGAAAGGCUCUUCAGCCUCAUGAACAGUCUCUGCACGCCAUCCAGGAACAAACUCCUGGUGGGAACGCUGGAUAGCCUGCUGAGACUGUGCAUGGAGGCUGAUCUUUCAGAAUCUGAUGUUGAAAAUGUAAUUGACAUUUUCAAGAAAAAGGAAUGGAAUAUAGCAUUGUGAACAUGUGUACUA